Molecule: ribosomal RNA, 490 nt
Filed under: uncultured bacterium
Lineage: Bacteria
Description: partial 16S ribosomal RNA
Rfam family: Bacterial small subunit ribosomal RNA
Source: RNAcentral
GAUGAACGCUAGCGAUAGGCUUAACACAUGCAAGUCGAGGGGCAGCAUGGUCUUAGCUUGCUAAGACUGAUGGCGACCGGCGCACGGGUGCGUAACGCGUAUGCAACUUGCCUCACAGAGGGGGAUAACCCGUCGAAAGACGGACUAAUACCGCGUACACUUGGGAUAGGGCAUCCUGACCCAAGGAAAUGAAAUUCGCUGUGAGAUAGGCAUGCGUCCCAUUAGCUAGUUGGUGAGGUAACGGCUCACCAAGGCGACGAUGGGUAGGGGAACUGAGAGGUUGAACCCCCGCACUGGUACUGAGACACGGACCAGAAUCCUACGGGAGGCAGCAGUGAGGAAGAUUGGUCAAGGGGCGAGAGCCUGAACCAGCCAAGUCGCGUGAAGGAUGACUGUCUUAUGGAUUGUAAACUUCUUUUAUACGGGAAUAACAAGAGUCACGUGUGGCUCCCUGCAUGUACCGUAUGAAUAAGCAUCGGCUAACUCCGUG